UCCGAUGUAGUCCAGUGGUUAGGAUUUCUGGUUUUCAUUACAUGAGAAGCCCCAGACGACCCGGGUUCAAAUCCCGGCAUCGGAA
Molecule: non-coding RNA, 85 nt
Organism: Massarina eburnea CBS 473.64
Lineage: Eukaryota; Fungi; Ascomycota; Dothideomycetes; Pleosporales; Massarinaceae
Source: the annotation of a GenBank genome assembly